UACGGAGGAUGCGAGCGUUAUCCGGAUUUAUUGGGUUUAAAGGGUGCGUAGGCGGCUUUUUAAGUCAGCGGUGAAAUUUUGCAGCUUAACUGUAACAGUGCCGUUGAUACUGGUUUCUUGAGUGUGGAUGAAGUAGGCGGAAUUUGUGGUGUAGCGGUGAAAUGCAUAGAUAUCACGAGGAACUCCGAUUGCGCAGGCAGCUUACUAAACCAUAACUGACGCUCAGGCACGAAGGCGUGGGGAUCAAACAGGAUUAGAUACCCCGGUAGU
Molecule: ribosomal RNA, 270 nt
Filed under: uncultured prokaryote
Description: partial 16S ribosomal RNA
Rfam family: Bacterial small subunit ribosomal RNA
Source: RNAcentral